This is a long non-coding RNA of Micropterus dolomieu (smallmouth bass), 1945 nucleotides long. RefSeq lists it as uncharacterized. The record is from RefSeq and is a predicted model, not a curated record. NCBI's taxonomy places the organism in Eukaryota, Metazoa, Chordata, Actinopteri, Centrarchiformes, Centrarchidae. The transcript is spliced from 9 exons.
CGUCACGUCACCUCACUCGCGAAUUGGCGGGAUAUCACCUGGCCAGGCCCCGGAGUAAUAGGUCUUCUCGGUCUUCUCACGAAACAUAAACUCUGACAGCCUUUCAAUGGUGUCCCCGGUGUUUCUCCUGCUCCCUGCGUGAGGUCAGCACACUUCCUGCCAAUGUGAACUCUGAACCCAUCACCACCUCUCUGCCCUCUACCCUCCAAUCAAUCACUCAGCAGGAGCCACAGCUUGGGCCCUGAUUUUCCCACCAUAUUGAGUGACGGCUGUGGUCUGGAAUUGCUCUACCCCACACCCCUCAUCUCUUGGGGCUCUGGAUGGAGGAAUGUGGCAGGCUUUGGAAGAAGACAAGCCUGCAGCUCAACGCCCUUCUCCCUCCCCACUUUCCCUGUCUGCUCGCCCUUCUCCCAGUCACGCACAGCUAAUCCCAGGCAUCUAUUGAGUAUAUGUAUGGAUGCCGUGCACAGUGUUGAUUGAUUGGGAUCUGUGAUAAGGAGCAGCAUGGACAGCCCAGCAUAGAAGUAAGUGAGGGGGAAUAGGUGGCUGCUGAGUAUAGGCACUCUGACAAGCAAAGAGAGAAGAGAGGAAAGACGAGAGGUUAGAGCCUGGCAGGUGUACAGAGGAUCCUUCGAUACGCUGAUGACACCCCCACCUGGAUCUGACAGAACUGACCAUAUCUGCUGAUACUCCGUGGGAAGCUGGCUGAGGAAGGAAUGUUGAAAGAGGACAUCUGUUUGGACACCAAGGCCACCACACAGCGCUCAGACACCUGGAAGACAAAGUGAUGGAUGGCAGAGGCACCUUUAAUCUUCUCGGGAUUGUCGAUGAUGAAAUUGCCGUUCCAUACGAUGGAGAGGUCUACUGCCAGGUCACUGAUCUUCACACCCUCAUACAUGUACUGAAAAGCAGAAACACCGAGUGAGGGAGCUUGCGGGACGCAAACCCUGGCUGGGGUGGCUGAUCAUCCACAUCUGAAGAAAAUGGCCUUUUCAUUCAUUGUCACGGAGUAGCAAGCAUCCAAGCUAUCUGCCUCAUUUGACAGCUGUGAGACUCCCACUGGGAGUGUUCGAGGUCAUACCGAGCUGUUCUGGCACUGCACGCUGGUGCUAUUGAAGCGCAGUGCCGUGACACGGUGGCUGACACCCUGCACGUGCACCACGCACUCGUAGCCCCGUUGGCCUGACUGCGGCUGGGGCAGGUUUCGGGCCCUGAGGGUGAUGGGUCGGACCUCGCCGGCCGGAAUGAGAAUUUCUCCAGAGUGAAGGAGCUGAGGGCAGUCCUGUGAAAACAACAGACAAAAGCAAAGAUUUGUACCAUUCACAGUAAGAUGCGGAUAUGCAUGGUGUAAAUCCCACCCAGUAUGGCACAUGCCACACCAUUGAAAAGGACCAUUGAGGAAGAGGAGGGAACUGAUGACAAGAGUCCAAAUAAGUAGAAGAAAGAGGAUAAAUCCUAAUGACUUUGAUGAUUCUGACUUUUCAUGAAGUGCCAUUAGCAGGUGAAAGUUUCAGUAAAAUAUCGAAAAAUCUACUGGCACACACAUUUGUACAGAUAUUCACAGCUCCUAGAUGAAUUCUAAUGAAUUUGGUGGUGAUAUCCUGACAUUUCAUAGCAUGCAGACGUUAGCAUUUCGCUCAAAAAGCCUCAUAGAGUUGCCUCAUAGAUUUGCUAGCAUGGCUGUAGGCUAUAUUUUUAAAUCAUGGAUUGUGCUAAGGAACAGAUAGAUGGUGCGCCACUGUAAAAGCUACACUUUAAUCAGCUAAUGAAACUAACACUGCAGUAUAUUUAUGUUAAUGUGAAUGUACAGCACCUCUGAGGCGUUUACUCUUCCCUCCUGGAAUGAACAGCUGCUGGGGUCGUGGGUGCACAGAUUGCGGUAUUUACACCAGUGGCAACGAAAAGUGCUGUUUACACAGGACAGACACCUGCAGGAAGAAAUCAA